UUACAUCAAAGAAACUAUAAUAAUAACACACUUGAUUAAAUCGAAUUGCUUAUCGAUUCGAGAACGAGUCUAACAUUUCAAUUUGAAAACUAGGUUGGUUGGAUAAUAAUAAUAAUAAUAAUCGUGUGUUUCGUUUCUACAAAACGAAAGCGUGGAAACGAAUAGAUAGUUUCACGUAUCAAGAACCGUUUUAAGAGACACGUAUACAUUAGUGAAAAUUAAUUAAAGCCGGCGAGCAACAUCUCAUGAAUAAAACAAUCACAACUGGCACUGGACUCGGAUUACCAGGACCUCACUAUGAGCGAGCAGCGAGAACAGACUUGGAACUCGAGGUUCGCACGAGGUCAAGAGCAAAAGUAAAUGACAUUGGCUUUGGAACGUGAUGCAUCGUGAUGGCCGAAAAAAUUCAUCGAAUCGUUCUUUCAGCGCGCUUUCAGCACGUGCGAUCAAGAUUCGUACACAUUUUAUUUUAUUUAAUGAUCGUCUUUAAGCCUGUCAUUACGUCUAUGCUUCUGUUCUUCGACAGAGGUUCCGUUUCACGGGCUGGUCUCUCGCGAGCUUUUUCGCUUUCGAGCCUCACGAACGAUGAAAAUCGCCUUGACUAGAGAACGCAUGCAUUCGAGAAUAAUAAUUAACGAACGCGCGUAUAACCAAUAUGAAUUCACGUAUGGAGGUUUGGGGUUUGUAGGUUGCCAGGUUCGCAUAACUUCCGCUAUGUAUUUCUCGUUGUCGAUCAAAUAUGAGUGAAAGCAACGCGAUAGCAUGCAGCUGUUCAAUUUCGAAUACUUUUAUUCCGAGAAACGUAAAACGUUUGAUCUAAUUUUUUUUUUUUCUCAACUUGUUCAAUUAUUAUUUUGACGAAUUGAAAUUGAAUAGAACAGUCAACGCGGUAUAAAAUUGCGGUUUGAUGUUUGCCCAAGUGAUAAAUUGCGCGUGGGAAAGGAAAGGAAGAAAAUCAUUAUUGGAUAGCACCCAAGGCUGGUCAUUGGCCGUGACUGGUAUCGCGCAUCUAUUUCUUCAGGAUGUGCUGUCCAGCAUUCUUCCUGUACCACAAGAAACAAGUGAAUUGUAUACAGUUCAGCGAUAAUAUCGUAAAGGAUGCGUGUUAUCUUGAUCGAAUCAGAUCAGCAAAUAUGGGGAUAUUUUUUUUGAUUUUUGGAAUUUAAAUAUAAUUUAAAUAUCUCGUUACAAGCGUUUAAAAAAAAUAUAUAUUUGUCUUUUGUAGCUUCUUCUAAUUUUUUAUGGAUUAAACGAUCGCAAUCUUCACGUGAUAUCGAUCACAGAAUAAAGGCUAUCGAAUAACUUAUCUUAGUCAAGUUUCGAUGAAUUACAUAACGGCGAUGUUGCGAAAAAAGAGAAGACCGAGUUAAGAAAGACGUGAGAAUCACUUGAACUUGAAAGAUCGAGGUCUCCUCCAUGGGUCUUUUCCAUUCAUCGUCGAGAAAAACAAUUAUUUGUGCUGCAACUUUUCACUUUAUUAUUUAUUAGAAGAAUUUUUCCCACUGGGAGAAGUACUGUUAAUAUAAUAUUAAAACAGGAUUAAUUAACUAGCUAUCUCUGAUCGUGGAAACACUCGAAUCGGUCGAAUUGAAACGAGAUUUAUCUAACUGGAAUUGUGAAAUUGCUUCGAGGAAGAUAAAAUAAUUAUACGUAAUACUGAUAGAUGAAACAGAAUUGAUGAGAUAUAACGAAGAAAAAAAGUUUAGGAAAAAUUAUGCUUCCGGUAGUCGGGAGAAGAUUCCUCGUGGACCAUGAGCGUGUCAUGCGGUUGGUUCUAACGAUCAGAUAUUCAAUUUAGCUUGGAGAAUUAACGUUCAAUUUAAAUGAACCAUUGGAGAAUCAUUAUGAACCGAUAAGCUUUCAAGUCAUUAAAAUUUGUACGUACCAUUUUGCGAUGUUACAAUCAACGAUUCAGUCAUGAAAAUGUUUUAAUUAAUCUCUGUUACAGUCUACAGGAUAUCACUCACCAUGAGGAAGACCAUUUUUAACACUGUGAACUUGAAUUGUUUUCUCGGUCUGUUUGACAAUACAAUUAGCUAUACGCGUUACAUGAAUUGAUCGCAAUGUUCUAGUGGAAGAAGGAAUUGAAUUAAAACGGGGGCACACGAGUUCCUUAAACACCGUUCAUGUCACCGCACCGGAUGUCGUGGGGUCGAACACCUCCGUCCUCACAGGUGGAUGUCCAGAGGUUGACUGUAGAAUCGUAAGUAACCACUCUCUGUGCUCUGGUAGAGCCAAGGAAAAAGAGGGGAUGAGACGAGGAAUAUCGGCCCCUAUUCUACCUCGAAACCUUUUUUUCUUUUAUUGAAGAAAAAGUUCGAAGAGAAAAAGGGUAACUAAGAACGCCCCUCUUUUUCUUUUAUAUUUCAUCAAAAAGUUUCUAUCUAAUGUUUGCAUGUUCAUCGGAAUUAUUAUUUUUUAUAC
Molecule: long non-coding RNA, 2424 nt
Organism: Apis mellifera (honey bee)
Lineage: Eukaryota; Metazoa; Arthropoda; Insecta; Hymenoptera; Apidae
Exons: 2
Source: RefSeq, a predicted model, not a curated record